This 266-nucleotide signal recognition particle RNA is filed under the name Oscillospiraceae bacterium. Its description in RNAcentral is "signal recognition particle sRNA large type". It matches the Rfam family "Bacterial large signal recognition particle RNA". From Rfam's summary of the family: The signal recognition particle (SRP) is a universally conserved ribonucleoprotein involved in the co-translational targeting of proteins to membranes. Archaeal SRP consists of a 7S RNA and homologues of the eukaryotic SRP19 and SRP54 proteins. The record is from RNAcentral. Lineage: Bacteria; Bacillati; Bacillota; Clostridia; Eubacteriales; Oscillospiraceae.
UCGCACUAAUCGGGGAGAUAGCGGUGCCCUGUUGCCUGCAAUCCGCUAUAGCAGGGAUGAAUUCCCACACCCGGGCUUGUUUGCGUGCCGUCCGGCCAUCGUAAGCGGUGUUGACGAACCGGUCUUGCGCAACGGAAUCCCGUGAACCAUGUCAGGUGGGGAACCAAGCAGCAUUAAGCGGAUUUUUCCGUGUGCCGCGGGGGCGCCGUUUCUGAGCUGGCUGCGCUGAUACCGGGUACACAGCAGGUUCAAAUGUGGGUGUGCGA